This 253-nucleotide ribosomal RNA is filed under the name uncultured bacterium. Its description in RNAcentral is "partial 16S ribosomal RNA". It matches the Rfam family "Bacterial small subunit ribosomal RNA", at positions 524 to 776 of the family's 1533-position model. The record is from RNAcentral.
UACGUAGGUGGCAAGCGUUGUCCGGAUUUACUGGGCGUAAAGAGCGCGCAGGCGGUCGUUCAAGUCGCGUGUGAAAGCCCCCGGCUCAACUGGGGAGGGUCACGCGAUACUGAUCGACUGGAAGGCAGGAGAGGGAAGCGGAAUUCCCGGUGUAGUGGUGAAAUGCGUAGAUAUCGGGAGGAACACCAGUGGCGAAGGCGGCUUCCUGGCCUGUUCUUGACGCUGAGGCGCGAAAUCGUGGGGAGCGAACAGG